This 194-nucleotide ribosomal RNA is filed under the name uncultured eukaryote. RNAcentral describes it as "partial 18S ribosomal RNA". It matches the Rfam family "Eukaryotic small subunit ribosomal RNA", at positions 1 to 194 of the family's 1831-position model. The record is from RNAcentral.
CUAACCUGGUUGAUCCUGCCAGUAGUCAUACGCUUGUCUCAAAGAUUAAGCCAUGCAUGUCUAAGUAUAAGCACUUAUACCGUGAAACUGCGAAUGGCUCAUUACAUCAGUUAUAGUUUAUUUGAUAGUCCCCACUACUUGGAUAACCGUAGUAAUUCUAGAGCUAAUACAUGCGUCAAGUCCUGACUGCGCGA